UACGGGGGGGGCAAGCGUUGUUCGGAAUUACUGGGCGUAAAGGGCUCGUAGGCGGCCAACUAAGUCCGACGUGAAAUCCCCAGGCUUAACCUGGGAACUGCGUCUGAUACUGGAUGGCUUGAAUUCGGGAGAGGGAUGCAGAAUUCCAGGUGUAGCGGUGAAAUGCGUAGAUAUCUGGAGGAAUACCGGUGGCGAAGGCGGCAUCCUGGACCGACAUUGACGCUGAUGAGCGAAAGCUAGGGGAGCAAACGGG
This 253-nucleotide ribosomal RNA is filed under the name uncultured bacterium. Its description in RNAcentral is "partial 16S ribosomal RNA". It matches the Rfam family "Bacterial small subunit ribosomal RNA", at positions 524 to 776 of the family's 1533-position model. The record is from RNAcentral.